This 405-nucleotide ribosomal RNA is filed under the name uncultured bacterium. RNAcentral's name for it is "bacterial SSU rRNA". It matches the Rfam family "Bacterial small subunit ribosomal RNA", at positions 362 to 758 of the family's 1533-position model. The record is from RNAcentral.
UUUUGGACAAUGGGCGCAAGCCUGAUCCAGCCAUUCCGCGUGAGUUAAGAAGGCCUUCGGGUUGUAAAGCUCUUUCGCACCCCCCAGAAAACUUACUCUCUAAUAAAGAGUGAGGUUGACGGUACCUUGAUAAGAAGCACCGGCUAACUACGUGCCAGCAGCCGCGGUAAUACGUAGGGUGCGAGCGUUAAUCGGAAUUACUGGGCGUAAAGCGUGCGCAGGCGGUUUUGUAAGUCAGAUGUGAAAUCCCCGAGCUCAACUUGGGAACUGCGUUUGAAACUACAAGACUAGAAUAUGUCAGAGGGGGGUAGAAUUCCACGUGUAGCAGUGAAAUGCGUAGAGAUGUGGAGGAAUACCAAUGGCGAAGGCAGCCCCCUGGGAUAAUACUGACGCUCAUGCACGAAG